Molecule: ribosomal RNA, 253 nt
Filed under: uncultured bacterium
Lineage: Bacteria
Description: partial 16S ribosomal RNA
Rfam family: Bacterial small subunit ribosomal RNA
Source: RNAcentral
UACGAAGGGGGCUAGCGUUGUUCGGCCUCACUGGGCGUAAAGCGCACGUAGGCGGCGCGUUAAGUCAGGGGUGAAAUCCUGGAGCUCAACUCCAGAACUGCCUUUGAUACUGGCGUGCUCGAGUGUGGGAGAGGUUGGUGGAACUCCGAGUGUAGAGGUGAAAUUCGUAGAUAUUCGGAAGAACACCAGUGGCGAAGGCGGCCAACUGGCCCAUUACUGACGCUGAGGUGCGAAAGCGUGGGGAGCAAAUAGG